CAGUCGCCGCGGGAAAACGGAGGGUGCAAGCGUUAUCCGGAUUUAUUGGGUUUAAAGGGUCCGUAGGCGGACUUAUAAGUCAGUGGUGAAAGCCUGUCGCUUAACGAUAGAACUGCCAUUGAUACUGUAAGUCUUGAGUAUAUUUGAGGUAGCUGGAAUAAGUAGUGUAGCGGUGAAAUGCAUAGAUAUUACUUAGAACACCAAUUGCGAAGGCAGGUUACCAAGAUAUAACUGACGCUGAGGGACGAAAGCGUGGGUAGCGAACAGGAUUAGAUACCCCAGUAGUCCCUGUCUCUUAUAC
RNAcentral lists this ribosomal RNA (301 nucleotides) under uncultured bacterium. Its description in RNAcentral is "partial 16S ribosomal RNA". It matches the Rfam family "Bacterial small subunit ribosomal RNA", at positions 509 to 807 of the family's 1533-position model. The record is from RNAcentral.